CUGACCUAUCAGCUUUCGACGGUAUGGUAUUGGCUUACCGUGGCAGUGACGGUUAACGGGGGAUUAGGGUUCGAUUCCGGAGAGGGAGCCUGAGAAACGGCUACCACAUCUAAGGAAGGCAGCAGGCGCGCAAAUUACCCAAUUCUAACAGUUUGAGAGAGGUAGUAACAAGAAAUAACAAUACAAGGCAAUUAAAAUGCUUUGUAAUUGGAAUGAUAGAAAUUUAAACCCUUUUUAAAGUAUCAAUUGGAGGGCAAGUCUGGUGCCAGCAGCCGCGGUAAUUCCAGCUCCAAUAGCGUAUAUUAAAAUUGUUGCAGUUAAAAAGCUCGUAGUUGAAGUUCUGCUAAAAGUAACCGGUCUGCUUUUAAUAAAAGUGGUAUCUUGGUGUGUAUUUAGCAAUGAUGUCCUUUGAAGUGUUUUUUACUUUAUUGUAAUAAAGCAUAUUCAGGACUUUUACUUUGAGAAAAUUAGAGUGUUUCUAGCAGGCCGACGCUUUGAAUACUGCAGCAUGGA
This 513-nucleotide ribosomal RNA is filed under the name Hepatozoon canis. Its description in RNAcentral is "SSU rRNA". It matches the Rfam family "Eukaryotic small subunit ribosomal RNA", at positions 307 to 813 of the family's 1831-position model. The record is from RNAcentral. Lineage: Eukaryota; Apicomplexa; Hepatozoidae.